GGAAGAAAAGCUCUUGCCACGGGAGCUGCCUAUUCACACCAGGGCUGGGAUUCGAACCUCUAGUGCUCUGCCCCCAAGCCUGAUUCAUCUAGGAAUACCCUGGAGGCUACCCUACCUGGCUUCAUAACUCCCAGCUUCCUUUGUGCUCGUGGGACAGUUAGGCGAGGAAGAUGGUCAGGAGUUGCAGGUGUGAACCCUCAUCUCUCAGAGCCCCCCAUGGGCACCUGGCAUUGUGCUCCCAUUUGCACAGCUCCGCUUUCCACGGAGACAAAGCAAGGGGUACAGUGUCUUCCCUCCCCUCUCAAAGUGCAUCUCACCGUGCCCACGCCUUGAGGGCUAAGGCUCUGAGACCAUCACCGAGUGUCCAUGUUCUCUGCCCCUGUGCUCCUCCUGGGGCUACACAGAGACACCCCACUGCUCCCCUUUCCAGAGGCCUGGAUCCAGCUUGCCCCAGCUGGGGACCCCGAGCAAGCUCCUUUCCCUCUCUCUCCUUGGCACUGCCGUCUGUGGAAGGGGCAGAACAAGGCCUGUGAUCAAAGACGACGUCUGGGAAAGCAGGCUCGCCCACGCUGAGGCUGUGUCAUGACUACUGCGCAGGCUCCUGGUCCUUGCCCCAUUGUUCUAUGGAUGUAACUGUCUUAUCCCAGCAAGCACAAUUAAGCACCAGCUCAGUAACCAGUGACAGGGCAUGGCCAUUGGCUUUGAACUUAGGAGCCCUCCUAGUUCCGAGUACCUGGAGACAGACCCUGAAGGUGGGUUCGAGGAGAUGGAGCUAAAAGUCAUUGCCUAGGAGUCCGUUGGUGGAUGAAAUUAAUUAAUUAACAAUUUCGCUAAGCACCUGGGCCUCCUGCAUAUCCUGUUCGUUUGCAAGCGUUAUUCUUAGCCAAGGAAAAGAGAAAGCUGGGUCUCCUCCAAGGACACUUUGACAGGUGUGGGGAACAUUCCUUGCUGAUGACAGCAAAGAUUUGCUCCAAAUGUUUUCUCUGUGGGAAGCGACUCCUUCAAAUUAUGCCCCCCCCCUUAAUCUCUGUUUAUGGAUGCACACUUCUAACCCUGGCGCCCUCACAGCAGUCCUAGGAUGCCGAAGGUACUUUGAGAUGCUCCCAUUUUUACUGAUGGGGAAACUGAGACCUACUGAAGCUAAUCCACUUGUCCAAGG
Molecule: long non-coding RNA, 1159 nt
Filed under: Heterocephalus glaber (naked mole-rat)
Lineage: Eukaryota; Metazoa; Chordata; Mammalia; Rodentia; Bathyergidae
Description: lncRNA (ENSHGLG00000045044.1)
Source: RNAcentral